GACGAACGCUGGCGGCGUGCUUAACACAUGCAAGUCGAACGGAAAGGCCCUGCUUUUGUGGGGUGCUCGAGUGGCGAACGGGUGAGUAACACGUGAGUAACCUGCCCUUGACUUUGGGAUAACUUCAGGAAACUGGGGCUAAUACCGGAUAGGAGCUCCUGCUGCAUGGUGGGGGUUGGAAAGUUUCGGCGGUUGGGGAUGGACUCGCGGCUUAUCAGCUUGUUGGUGGGGUAGUGGCUUACCAAGGCUUUGACGGGUAGCCGGCCUGAGAGGGUGACCGGCCACAUUGGGCGUGGGGACCGGCCCGAACCCCACGGGGGGGGGCGGGGGGGGAUAUUGUACAAGGGGGGGGAGCCCGAGGAGGCGAACCCGCGGGGGGGGAGAGAGCGCUUUGGGUUUGAAACCCGUUUUCCCGGGAGAAGAAGGGGGGGGCGGGUAAUGGGGAAAAAGCCCCCCCCAACCAUGUG
RNAcentral lists this ribosomal RNA (467 nucleotides) under uncultured bacterium. RNAcentral's name for it is "partial 16S ribosomal RNA". It matches the Rfam family "Bacterial small subunit ribosomal RNA", at positions 28 to 507 of the family's 1533-position model. The record is from RNAcentral.